AGGAAUAUAGUGAUAUUGGAAACAUCGGUUCUCGUCCAAUCACCGAAGUUGAGCAAUGUCGGGCCCGGUCAGUACUUGGGAGGGUGACCACCUGGGAACACCGGGUGCUGUAGGCU
This is a non-coding RNA of Cordylochernes scorpioides, 116 nucleotides long. NCBI's taxonomy places the organism in Eukaryota, Metazoa, Arthropoda, Arachnida, Pseudoscorpiones, Chernetidae. The record is from the annotation of a GenBank genome assembly.